RNAcentral lists this unclassified non-coding RNA (307 nucleotides) under plant metagenome. Its description in RNAcentral is "partial contains 5.8S ribosomal RNA, internal transcribed spacer 2, and large subunit ribosomal RNA". The stretch from base 1 to 105 matches the Rfam family "5.8S ribosomal RNA", at positions 50 to 154 of the family's 154-position model. The record is from RNAcentral.
GAAAUGCGAUAAGUAAUGUGAAUUGCAGAAUUCAGUGAAUCAUCGAAUCUUUGAACUCACAUUGCGCCCGCCAGCACUCUGGCGGGCAUGCCUGUUCGAGCGUCAUUUCAACCCUCAGAACCCCUUGCGGGAUCUGGCGUUGGGGAUUGGCAUCCAGCCAGCCCCGAAAUCUAGUGGCGGUCCCUCCGCGACCUCCCCUGUGCAGUAGCGAUACCUCGCAGCGGGACAGCGGUCUGACCACGCCGUAAAACCCCCAACUUCUCAAGGUUGACCUCGAAUCAGGUAGGAAUAUCCGCUGAACUUAAGC